This 344-nucleotide ribosomal RNA is filed under the name uncultured bacterium. RNAcentral's name for it is "bacterial SSU rRNA". It matches the Rfam family "Bacterial small subunit ribosomal RNA", at positions 18 to 344 of the family's 1533-position model. The record is from RNAcentral.
CAUGGCUCAGGAUGAACGCUGGCGGCGUGCUUAACACAUGCAAGUCGAACGAGAAAUGAUAUUACGAUCUCUUCGGAGUGACGGUUUUAUUUCGAGUGGCGGACGGGUGAGUAACGCGUGAGCAACCUGCCCUAUACCGGGGGAUACCAGUUGGAAACGACUGUUAAUACCGCAUAAGCGCACGAUAAGACAUCUUGUUGUGUGAAAAACUCCGGUGGUAUAGGAUGGGCUCGCGUAUGAUUAGCCAGUUGGCGGGGUAAAGGCCCACCAAAGCGACGAUCAUUAGCCGACCUGAGAGGGCGACCGGCCACAUUGGGACUGAGACACGGCCCAAACUCCUACGG